CUCGCCUGCAUGAAGUCGGAAUUGCUAGUAAUCGUAGGUCAGCAUACUACGGUGAAUACGUUCCCGGGCCUUGUACACACCGCCCGUCAAACCAUGAGAGUUGGCAACACCCGAAGUCGGUAGUCUAACCGCAAGGAGGACGCCGCCGAAGGUGGGGUUGAUGAUUAGGGUUAAGUCGUAACAAGGUAAC
Molecule: ribosomal RNA, 190 nt
Filed under: uncultured bacterium
Lineage: Bacteria
Description: partial 16S ribosomal RNA
Rfam family: Bacterial small subunit ribosomal RNA
Source: RNAcentral